RNAcentral lists this long non-coding RNA (373 nucleotides) under Coturnix japonica (Japanese quail). RNAcentral's name for it is "lncRNA (ENSCJPG00005004510.1)". Lineage: Eukaryota; Metazoa; Chordata; Aves; Galliformes; Phasianidae. The record is from RNAcentral.
AUGGCAACUCUUGUGGCUGCAGCCCUGGAGUUGCCUGUUUCUGCCUCGGUGUGUUGUUUGCUCGUGAGCAGUGCCCUCCGUGCGCACAGCGUCGGUGCAGAGCAGCCGUUCCGCACCUUCCUGCGCCCUGCCCCCUGUUCGGUCCCCUGUGCAGUAGUUCCUGCAGUUAAAAUGAGCUUUACAGAGCAAGAGAAGCCAAUUUUGGGAGCAUGUUCACUGUGAUACCUUCAGUGAUUUCUGUUUCAAUACAUUCUCUUCAGGGCUAUGACUGUAACUGAUUAGGUAAGCAAAUAUACAUAGUCACAGCAUUUUUUUUAUCAAAAGUUUUUCCAGGUGACAAGUAAAUAAAUCUGAAAAAAAAAUAAGUUCUGCA